GUAGGUGAACCUGCGGAAGGAUCAUUACGGAGUUCAUGCCCCUACGGGUAGACCUCCCACCCUUGAAUUAUAUAACUUUGUUGCUUUGGCAGCCCUCACCGGCUGCUAGAGAAUAAACCAAACUCUUCUUAAAUAUAUCGUCUGAGUACUAUAAAAUAGUUAAAACUUUCAACAACGGAUCUCUUGGUUCUG
Molecule: unclassified non-coding RNA, 192 nt
Filed under: rhizosphere metagenome
Description: partial ribosomal RNA internal transcribed spacer region
Source: RNAcentral